UCGGCCCCGGUUCACGGGGGACAACCCGUCCUUCGACCCGGCGCC
This 45-nucleotide non-coding RNA is filed under the name Streptomyces sp. CNT360. RNAcentral describes it as "L31-Actinobacteria ribosomal protein leader". It matches the Rfam family "L31-Actinobacteria ribosomal protein leader". Lineage: Bacteria; Bacillati; Actinomycetota; Actinomycetes; Kitasatosporales; Streptomycetaceae. The record is from RNAcentral.